This 270-nucleotide ribosomal RNA is filed under the name uncultured archaeon. RNAcentral describes it as "partial 16S ribosomal RNA". It matches the Rfam family "Archaeal small subunit ribosomal RNA", at positions 477 to 747 of the family's 1478-position model. The record is from RNAcentral.
CAGCACCUCAAGUGGUCAGGAUGAUUAUUGGGCCUAAAGCAUCCGUAGCCGGCGCUGUAAGUUUUCGGUUAAAUCUGUACGCUCAACGUACAGGCUGCCGGGAAUACUGCAGCGCUAGGGAGUGGGAGAGGGAGACGGUACUCGGUAGGAAGGGGUAAAAUCCUUUGAUCUAUUGAUGACCACCUGUGGCGAAGGCGGUCUACCAGAACACGUCCGACGGUGAGGGAUGAAAGCUGGGGGAGCAAACCGGAUUAGAUACCCGAGUAGUCC